GGUUGACCUCGGAUCAGGUAGGGAUACCCGCUGAACUUAAGCAUAUCAAUAAGCGGAGGAAAAGAAACCAACCGGGAUUGCCCUAGUAACGGCGAGUGAAGCGGCAAGAGCUCAAAUUUGAAAGCUGGCCCCCGCGGGGUCCGCAUUGUAAUUUGCAGAGGAUGCUUCGGGAGCGGUCCCCAUCUAAGUGCCCUGGAACGGGCCGUCAUAGAGGGUGAGAAUCCCGUAUGGGAUGGGGUGCCCGCGCCCGUGUGAAGCUCCUUCGACGAGUCGAGUUGUUUGGGAAUGCAGCUCUAAUUGGGUGGUAAAUUUCAUCUAAAGCUAAAUAUUGGCCGGAGACCGAUAGCGCACAAGUAGAGUGAUCGAAAGAUGAAAAGCACUUUGAAAAGAGAGUUAAAAAGCACGUGAAAUUGUUGAAAGGGAAGCGCUUGCGAUCAGACUCGCCUGCGGGGUUCAGCCGGCCUUCGGGCCGGUGUACUUCCCCGCGGGCGGGCCAGCGUCGGUUUGGGCGGCCGGUCAAAGGCCCCUGGAAUGUAACGCCUCUCGGGGCGUCUUAUAGCCAGGGGUGCCAUGCGGCCUGCCCGGACCGAGGAACGCGCUUCGGCUCGGACGCUGGCAUAAUGGUCGUAAGCGACC
RNAcentral lists this ribosomal RNA (636 nucleotides) under Penicillium sp. NRRL 32575. RNAcentral's name for it is "eukaryotic LSU rRNA". It matches the Rfam family "Eukaryotic large subunit ribosomal RNA", at positions 1 to 649 of the family's 3401-position model. The record is from RNAcentral. Lineage: Eukaryota; Fungi; Ascomycota; Eurotiomycetes; Eurotiales; Aspergillaceae.